UUCAAUGCGUCCCUGAUAUGACACCAUGAU
RNAcentral lists this non-coding RNA (30 nucleotides) under Mus musculus (house mouse). Lineage: Eukaryota; Metazoa; Chordata; Mammalia; Rodentia; Muridae. The record is from RNAcentral.